GACGAACGCUGGCGGCGUGCCUAAUACAUGCAAGUCGAACGCAUUUUCUUUCACCGUAGCUUGCUACACCGAAAGAAAAUGAGUGGCGAACGGGUGAGUAACACGUGGGUAACCUGCCCAUCAGCGGGGGAUAACACCUGGAAACAGGUGCUAAUACCGCAUAAUUCCAUUUACCGCAUGGUAGAUGGAUGAAAGGCGCUUUUGCGUCACUGAUGGAUGGACCCGCGGUGCAUUAGCUAGUUGGUGGGGUAACGGCCUACCAAGGCUGCGAUGCAUAGCCGACCUGAGAGGGUGAUCGGCCACACUGGGACUGAGACACGGCCCAGACUCCUACGGGAGGCAGCAGUAGGGAAUCUUCGGCAAUGGACACAAGUCUGACCGAGCAACGCCGCGUGAGUGAAGAAGGUUUUCGGAUCGUAAAACUCUGUUGUUAGAGAAGAACAAGGAUGAGAGUGGAAAGUUCAUCCCUUGACGGUAUCUAACCAGAAAGCCACGGCUAACUACGUG
Molecule: ribosomal RNA, 507 nt
Filed under: uncultured bacterium
Lineage: Bacteria
Description: partial 16S ribosomal RNA
Rfam family: Bacterial small subunit ribosomal RNA
Source: RNAcentral